This 471-nucleotide ribosomal RNA is filed under the name uncultured bacterium. RNAcentral describes it as "bacterial SSU rRNA". It matches the Rfam family "Bacterial small subunit ribosomal RNA", at positions 329 to 793 of the family's 1533-position model. The record is from RNAcentral.
CUACGCACUCCUACGGGAGGCAGCAUGGGGGAAUAUUGCACAAUGGGCGCAAGCCUGAUGCAGCCAUGCCGCGUGUAUGAAGAAGGCCUUCGGGUUGUAAAGUACUUUCAGCAGUGAGGAAGGUGGGUAUGUUAAUAGCAUACUCAUUUGACGUUAGCUGCAGAAGAAGCACCGGCUAACUCCGUGCCAGCAGCCGCGGUAAUACGGAGGGUGCGAGCGUUAAUCGGAAUUACUGGGCGUAAAGCGCAUGCAGGUGGUUUGUUAAGUCAGAUGUGAAAGCCCGGGGCUCAACCUCGGAAUUGCAUUUGAAACUGGCAAACUAGAGUACUGUAGAGGGGGUAGAAUUUCAGGUGUAGCGGUGAAAUGCGUAGAGAUCUGAAGGAAUACCGGUGGCGAAGGCGGCCCCCUGGACAGAUACUGACACUCAGAUGCGAAAGCGUGGGGAGCAAACAGGAUUAGAUACCCUGGUAG